This 87-nucleotide transfer RNA is filed under the name Candidatus Kaiserbacteria bacterium RIFOXYD1_FULL_42_15. RNAcentral describes it as "tRNA-Leu". It matches the Rfam family "tRNA". Rfam says of the family: Transfer RNA (tRNA) molecules are approximately 80 nucleotides in length. Their secondary structure includes four short double-helical elements and three loops (D, anti-codon, and T loops). Lineage: Bacteria; Candidatus Kaiseribacteriota. The record is from RNAcentral. RNAcentral also lists the same sequence under 1 other name.
GCCGGGAUGGUGUAAUCGGUAGCCACGCAAGACUUAAAAUUUUGUGGGCGCAAGCCCGUGCGGGUUCAAGUCCCGCUCCCGGCACAA